GCAUUAAUGGGGUAGUGGUAACCUGGGUCGUUGCCAUUCGAGCCUUGACUCGACCCGCCGGGGGUUCGAUUCCCUCUUAAUGCA
RNAcentral lists this transfer RNA (84 nucleotides) under Asterophora parasitica. RNAcentral describes it as "tRNA-Gly". It matches the Rfam family "tRNA". Rfam says of the family: Transfer RNA (tRNA) molecules are approximately 80 nucleotides in length. Lineage: Eukaryota; Fungi; Basidiomycota; Agaricomycetes; Agaricales; Lyophyllaceae. The record is from RNAcentral.